RNAcentral lists this ribosomal RNA (324 nucleotides) under Keissleriella acaciae. Its description in RNAcentral is "Pleurophoma acaciae partial 18S ribosomal RNA". The record is from RNAcentral. Lineage: Eukaryota; Fungi; Ascomycota; Dothideomycetes; Pleosporales; Lentitheciaceae.
AAACCGACCGGCGGCCCAUUGGAAACCAUGGGGUACGGUAACAGUGGUAGGGAUGAUCCGGCGCCGCGAGGCGGCCGGUGAAGUGGACGAUCCGCAGCGAAGCCCCUGGCGUUGACGGUAGCGGUUUCCAGGCCCUCGGGCCUGGACUCGGACCUGUUUGAGGCUCGCCCCCAAACUUGGCCAGUCGCAGCCGAACAUGGGGAACGUUCACAGACUAAGUGGAAGUGGGUGGAGCGCGACGCCGCUCUGCUUAAGAUAUAGUCGGUCCCCCAGGGAAACUUGGGGGGGAAACGUUCCGUAGGUGAACCUGCGGAAGGAUCAUUA